This 365-nucleotide ribosomal RNA is filed under the name uncultured eukaryote. Its description in RNAcentral is "partial 18S ribosomal RNA". It matches the Rfam family "Eukaryotic small subunit ribosomal RNA", at positions 592 to 975 of the family's 1831-position model. The record is from RNAcentral.
CAAUAGCGUAUAUUAACGUUGUUGCAGUUAAAGAGCUCGUAGUUGGAUUUCUGGAGGGAGCGUCGGCCCGUAUUUACGAGUGCGUGACGUCUCUGUCCAUCCUUGCGGGAAGGCACGGCAUUGAUUUGUUGUGUCGGAUCGCAUCAUUUACUGUGAAAAAAUUAGAGUGUUCAAAGCAGGCUUUCGCUUGAAUACAUUAGCAUGGAAUAAUAAGAUAGGACUUUGGUGCUAUUUUGUUGGUUGAGCCUAAAGUAAUGAUUAAUAGGGAUAGUUGGGGGCACCUGUAUUGCGUUGUCAGAGGUGAAAUUCUUGGAUUUACGCAAGACAAACAGCUGCGAAAGCGUCUGCCAAGGAUGUUUUCAUUA